CGAUCUCCAUCAAGAUCUACGCACAAGGAGCAGAGAGAGGGGUGUAGGAGUCAGACCUGCGAUGCAUUGGUCUCAGACUCCACCGUCGGGGUGAUUUCGGGCUCCAUCAUCGGGGUGAGACCCAUUUAUUGGUCGGGGAUCUGCUGAGUUCCAGCAGGAGUCUGAUUUUUCUUCCACUUCUCCUUCUGUCCCGUGCUCUCAGUCAGGCACCA
This 212-nucleotide long non-coding RNA is filed under the name Elaeis guineensis (African oil palm). RNAcentral describes it as "long non-coding RNA (EGUI_LNC026186)". Lineage: Eukaryota; Viridiplantae; Streptophyta; Magnoliopsida; Arecales; Arecaceae. The record is from RNAcentral.